RNAcentral lists this ribosomal RNA (253 nucleotides) under uncultured bacterium. RNAcentral describes it as "partial 16S ribosomal RNA". It matches the Rfam family "Bacterial small subunit ribosomal RNA", at positions 524 to 776 of the family's 1533-position model. The record is from RNAcentral.
UACGGAGGAUUCAAGCGUUAUCCGGAUUUAUUGGGUUUAAAGGGUGCGUAGGCUGUUAGUUAAGUUAGAGGUGAAAUCCCGUGGCUCAACCACGGAACUGCCUCUGAUACUGGCUAGCUAGAGAAUAGCUGCUGUGGGCGGAAUGUGUGGUGUAGCGGUGAAAUGCUUAGAGAUCACACAGAACACCGAUUGCGAAGGCAGCUCACAAAGCUAUAUCUGACGCUGAGGCACGAAAGCGUGGGGAGCAAACAGG